This 10238-nucleotide unclassified non-coding RNA is filed under the name Ooceraea biroi (clonal raider ant). RNAcentral's name for it is "uncharacterized LOC105277793, transcript variant X9". The record is from RNAcentral. Lineage: Eukaryota; Metazoa; Arthropoda; Insecta; Hymenoptera; Formicidae.
CGGGAGAAAAGGGUGGCAAAGGCGCAUGCCAGUUGUGCCCUCGCCGCGCUACGAGUCGGGUAACCCCAGGAUUUUCACCCUCUCUAUUGCCGGGACGGGCCCGGCACGACGUUCGAGAGACUCUCCUCCUGGCGUCACGUUCGCGGCCGGCGGCUUCUCGGCAACACAGAUUUCCGGUAUCCGCCCACCCUCGCGUCGCGUCCCCGGCGUUUCCCGGCGUCGCGUCGUUUCGUUGCGACGACCAAGAGCCGGAACAGUGACAUAACAAUCGAUGACAAUCGUCUCGCGCUCGUCCACCCCGUGCCGCUUCCGGCGCGUCCUCUCGUGACCUCGGUCAAGGCGAUCGACCGCCGCCGGUCGGUGAUCGCACGCGAUCACCCGGACGGAUUCUCUCUUGUCGACGUGCUCGAGGAAGUGGUGUGGCAAGCGUCGACCGCGAACGGUCGGCACGUGAUUGUGCACUGGUUAUCCCGGAGGAAUCAUCUUCCGGACGUGAUGAGACUCGCGUCAGGUUGCGUUUCGGCAGUGCAUAACGACCGCUGAAUCUCCGAACCGUUGUCGGCCACUUGAACAUGACGCCGAAGUUUCUCCGCUCGUGGAAACUAACGGACACUAACGGAUUACUCUCGAAUGUGUUGUUCGACGCCGAUUGGAAAACGUCAAGAAACCUAGAGCGAGCUUCCCAAAUCGCACGAUCGUGGAUCAAUUUCGUUGCACGUGCGAAAAUGUAAGAGUCUACGAUCGUGAUCGAUACUGGGCGGAGGAUCCACGAAAGGACGCAAGGAUCGCGCAACGUAUUCGAUCUUUGUUCGAUUUCUGAUGUGGAAUAGGUGAAGCCAGCAUGUUUGCGUGCCUGUGGAACUUCUUCGACUGGCUCGACCAGCCGGUGACCAACUCGACGCCCGGGAUGGACAACAAACAGAUUGUCCAGUCGGCUACGCCGCCCGCCGUACCGGUCCAGGUACGCAGCAAACACGAUGGCUCGGGGGUGGCGGCCUCCGUGUCGGCGGUGCGCAGACGGAGCGGCCCUCAAGGGGGGCUGCGAUCGCCAGCCGCGAAGAGGCCUGUCUCCGCCCCCGUCGCACUUCAGGGCUGGUUGCAUAAACAAGGCUCGGAAGGUCUCAUGCUCUGGAAGAAGCGUUGGUUCGUUCUCUCCGAGUACUGCCUCUUUUAUUACAAGGGUCCGGAAGAAGAAAAACUGCUAGGUUCGAUAUUAUUACCUUCGUACAGAGUUACCGUCUGCAAACCCGAGGACAAAGUCAACAAAAAGUUCGCCUUCAAAGCAGAGCAUGCGAACAUGAGGACUUAUCAUUUCGCUGCUGACACCCGCGAGAGCAUGAAUCAAUGGGUGAACGCGCUGACUCUGGCGACGCUGCUGCAAGAUCCUAGCCCUGGCGCCGGCGAGGCUGCGGUGGUCAUAGAAAUAGCUGGACAGCAGGAUGGCGAACGAAGCGCCCGACCUAGCGUCUCGUCGAUCUCGUCGAUCCUGAAUCAAAGCGCCGACGACAGCGAUUCUGGCUUCCACGGCUUCCAAUCGCGCGACGAUCCCAGCCAUGCAUCCAACAACAAUUCCAGCCCAAACAGCGCAAACACUGCCUCCUUUCCGAAUCUCAGUGGCAGCAACGGCAACGGCAACUCCACCAACAAUAAUCACGCGAACGAGUCGAGUCAUUCAAUGAUGAAUGGUUGGGUGCAACAGUCCCCGCAGUACGGCCAAGCCGGUACUUCUCAGUCGUCGCAGCAGCAGCAGCAGCAACAAUACGGACACUUACAGCAAUUGACUCCAGGUCAUUCGCACCAACAUCAAGCGUUGCUUCACCAACAUUUACAUCAGAAUGCGCUUCCAGCUCAUCAAUCGUCGCAUGCACACAAACAUAUGGUCCAACAGUCACCGCAGCAACAGCAACAACAGCCUCAGCAUCCCGGCUCGGUUCAAACGAUCCAGCCCAUGCCGAGGAAGUUCGGUCAGCCGAUUUAUGCGAAUGCACCACCGAAACCUAGAAGAUUGACAGACGGCAGCAACGAGUACUCGACGCCAUCGCCGGACCCGGAUUACCGAAACAGCCCGGUCUCGCCGGAUGUGACGGUGACCAGCAAGAGUCCAAUGUCGGAUUACGAGAGGAGCAAUACUAUCUACGGCGCACGGAUAAAUCAGACUGCGUCGCAGGCCGCGCCAAAUCUGCGCACGGACAAGUCGGGCCUGAAUUACGGCUACGGUCCGAGUGCUCAACCAACGGAGAGGAGAACUCCGGACACGUAUGGCCGUAGCGCAAAGCCGAGGGUCAACAGCAGGGGCAAUGGUGACUAUGAGGAAGUCUACGGUACCCCGCAGCUGUAUCAGAGGCCCGCGGGACCGGUGGGGUACACAAAGGGCACGUCGCCGGCACCCAUUCCUAUUCCUGUGUACGCGCAGCAACAUCUACAGCAACUGCACUCACCCGUCACACCGUCGAACAUAACGAUGGUAAGACAAUCCAGGACUCAACCACCACCGCGACCGCAUAGCGCCGACUUUUUAGAAUACGAGGCGGCAAGGCGACCUCAGCAACAACCCACACAAUGCGAGAGACCUCCGGAUCAACAGAGGCGUCCGCAGAGGCCUAAAUCCAGCUUAGAUAUAGUGAAUCCGUCAGACGCGACUAAUGACGGUUAUUUCUAUUCCGAGGAAAGAUAUGCAGCACAGAUGCGGCAAUCCGCGGUGUAUCUGCAUCAGACACCGCAGCAUUAUCAGCAGCAACGAAAUCAGUCGCUCUCGCGCGUCACGAUGCAGCCGAAAUUACCGGGUGUCCGCGACAAAAACGACGAAAGUAGAAUGUCCACAUUGCCGGAUUCCUCCUGCCCCGCUCUGAGACGCACGCAUCGGGAUCACGUUCAUCAGCAACACACGAUGCCCGCUCAGUCGCUGACGCAGAGACAUUCCGAGAUAAUAGGUAUUGAUCCGAAACUCCGGAGAUCUUUGCGCGAGAAGAGUUGCGAGGCAAAUGGCCGCGAGGUGCUGACGCACAGCGGGGAGGACAACACGAUACCUCGAAGAAUACCGCGUGGCGAGUACGACGGGUGGGGCAGAAUAGGGGGCCAUGGUGCCCACGGGACUCACAUCGCUCAGACGUGUCACGCGGGUCAUGCAGGUGCCGGCAGACGAUGGAGCGAUCAGCAGCAGUUUUGCAGAUCAGCGUCGGCGCGUCUGCCAAGGACCCGGCAUCCCGCCGCUCUUGAUCCGGACGACGACGACUACGCGGAGAGGUCUUCUGAACAGGAUUCGCGGGAUGGCGAACGCAAAAUUCAGCAACGCGAAGAGUCGAUGAAGCGAUUGUUGGAAUGGAAGCAGCGCAUGCUGCAGUCUCCGCUGACGCGAAAGCCAUCCGGUUCAGCUAAUCGUGGUAGAGCGCAAAAUGAUCUUUCCAGUUACUACAAGCAACAGGCGUUGCUGGAUCUGGCGGCGCACGAGGCCGCCGUGGCAGAGAGUCGUCACUCACGGCGGCGGGAGGACGGACAUCGUUCGCAUGUCAGGAGCAAGAGCUCGGAUGGCCGUCGCACCGCUGUCACCGUGCCGCGCUACAACAGCUAUUCCAGCGAUGACGAAGCGUCCGGCUCGGGGUCCGUGAUAGGCAGGGAUCCGCUUCCACCCAGAGCCGUCAGCACGUCUCAUUUGCCUCAAAGAACGCUGACUCAACCGCCGACGGCGGUGUCCACUCUUCCGUUACCGAGAAACAACGCUGGUAGUAGCCAUCGGCAGCAACCGCUUCCGCUCCAUCGCUCGACUCUUCAGCAGCCCAUGAGACAGCCGGAGAACGAGACCAUCAUCGCAGAUACCCAAAUGCUAAGGGUCGCCAGCAACGGCGACAUCGGCAAGAGUCCCGUCAUGGUUACCGGCAACGAGAUGAGAGAUCUAAGGCUAGCGUCGCCGGGCGGUCACUCCACUCAGCGAUUGAUCAGCCCGAUUGGACAUUUGCGGGUUGCCCCGUUGAACGACCAUCGUGUUUCCAGUCCCAGCGACAGCGAGAUACGUGUGCACAGUCCAAGUGAGAGAAAACUGAUCAGCCCGAUCGGUAGAGAGGUCGAUCGCGGCGGAGGUACAACGAUGACAACGACAGGUCAGAGACAAAGCCAGCAGCAGCGGAUGCGCGCGGAUUACGGCGAGCUGCUGCACAAGAGGAGUAACACCAGCUCCCAGAGAACGGACGCCGGCAGCAGGCAGAUGACGCAGGCAGGCGCAUCCGGACUGGUGCGCGUUUCCGCCGGUGAACUUCUCGGCAGGACCCACGAGGAACUGGUAUUGUUGCUGAUCCAGCUACGACGGCAGAACGCGACAGUCCUCAAGGCGAUGGAGACAUGCCACAUGGAGAUCGAAGCGCAGGCUAGAUUGGCGGAGCUCGACACACCGAGGCGGUUGGAGAAUCUUCAAAAACUCGAGGAACUCAAGAGACACCUGAUGGAUCUCGAGAAGCAGUACGAGAAGAGCAAGCCUCUCGUGAACCUCGUGGACAAUAUGGUAAAAUUGGGCUCUCUGUACAAUCGUAACACUGCCAACGGGAUCAGCAAUAUCUCCGGUUCUCGCCAUGAUCUGAUGCAUGAGAACGCGAGAGAUCAUCGCGAACGUCUGGAAUUUAAUCAGAGGAUGCAGGAGCAACGACUACUGGCCGAGGAGCGCAGGGAUUGGGACAGACUCAGUCCCGAUCAUGGACAGUUACAGGCUAAAGUCCAGCAGCUCUAUAAAUUAGAUCGAUUGCUCCAAGAGGAGUCUGGCACAUUACACAGUCUUCAACAAGACAAGGAAAUACUUGAGAAGGCUUUGGGCGGGUUGCGGCACAAACUGCAAGGCAGCAGAAGCAAUUUGGCCGAAGCCGAGCGGUAUCGGAAGCAGCAGCUUCUAUUAGAGCGCGAACUGAGCAGAGUGAGGGUGCUGCUCGCUCACAACUCGAAGGUAAAGCCGAUAUUUCUGCAGAAACUCGAAGAGACGGUAGCCGAAAACGCGAGACUCGAACAAGACUUAGUGGUACUCAGACAGAAGCUGCAAGCCUCCCGAAGAUAUGCCGGUAACAUCGCAAGAGACACUUCGAGUACGACCGCACCGUUAGAAGCAGAGUUAAGACGAGUGCAGCAACUCGUUGGCGAUCUGCAGAGGCAGAGGAAGGAACUGAGCAUACAAGUUCGCCAAUUGACGGAGAAAUCGCACAGUUUGGUGCAGCAAAUUCGACCGCAGUCCUCACACGCGCCCCAGGUACAUCAUCCGAAAAAACGCACGCAAAAUUCCUGGCUGGAGACCGACUUAGAUUCCGGAAUAACUUUGGACCAUGGUUUAGACUCGCCGUCAAGUCCAUCUCUGUCCAACUCGCCGCCGAAUAAACUAAACGACAUCUCUUACCAUCGAUACGGUUCUCCUACACAGUACAAAGACCUAUCGCCAUUGAAUCGUCCGCAGAUUCAGCAGCCUUUCACACAGCCUUCGCAAAAUCAUAUAUCAGCACUAUCACCGCAAUUACGCGAGCAAAUCCAGCAGCACCAAUUGAAGCAACAAUUAUUGAAGGAUCAAAUGCAGGGAAAAGGCAAUGCGACACCUCUGUACGUUAAUACGGAAUCUAGAAUAUCAGGCGAUUACAUCGCUGACACGAGUAAGCACAACGGAAACGUGUUGAAUGGCAUGCCGCAUUCCGCUCCGGAAUACAUCCCGCCGCCGCCACCACCGCCACUGAAUGAGGAGGCAUUGUUGUUGAACGACAAUUAUAGGCAAAACGAGGACAACAAAUUUGCGGGAUUAAUACACAAUCGCGAGAAACAAGAGAUUAAGACGGUGCGUAUAGUGAAACGCGAGUCAGAGAGACGACAGAGAGACCGUGGCGAUAGAACGGGUAAUAUCGGAAUUCCUUUGACGAACGGUCUUCAAGCACCAGGCGGAGCAAAGAGACUAUGUGACGAUGAUAUAGGAGGAUCGCAAAAGUUCGAGAAGGCUCAACUAGGCAGGGUAGUGGAGGAGUCACCGAUCAUCCACGCACAGAGCACAGUUCAACUAUCCGAAUUAGACGAUAUUCACUUCCAAAGGAGCAUGUCUCUACCGCGCGGUUUCGGCGGACAAAAACAGCAGACCGGAAUCCACUACGGACCCGUGGUACCUCCACCGCGUAGCGACAGCAUGCAUGCUCUGAAGACCAUGAUGGCACGACGUCAUAAGAUCAGGUUCGAAAGUCACGACGGCAGCUCCGACAGUACUCUGUCACCAUACACGGACAGUCCUACGUCUAGCUGUCAUGUACCGAUGAGCUCGCCCAACUACUCUACCACAUCGUCGUACAGUCCGUGCCAGAGUCAAAAUUAUCCGCCACAAUCGGCGAUGGUGCAGCCUCUCUAUCACAAUCCGCAUGGAUCGUACAAGCAAUACGAGAGAGCCGGCGGCAUCCUCGCGGGCGCCAGUUUGAGCCCUGAAUUAACAUCACCAACUAACAUUACUCAUGGCGUUCAUGAAAAAUCGAUUGCCACUACUAGCGAGAAAAUAAUCGGGACAAACACGAACCAAUCCGAGACGUCACCGCAAUUGUCGCCGGUCUUCAAAAGCAAGGCUGCCAAACAGAUUAUCAAAGAGAUGACAGAGAAGAGGACAGAAGGACCGAGACGUAGAGAAAUUCCUCGGGAGAAAAGGCGACACUACACCGUGUCUAGUAGCAAACCAGUGCUCGACUUAGAAGACACUUUUUCGAAGAUGGGCAUGGGCAGAGCUAGGGAUGACUUGGACAUGGAAAGGGCGCUAAGGCCCAGGAUAAAUGCUCCCGACGUAGUACGAUCGACAUUGAGUCACAAAGAAUUAAAGUACAAUGAGAGCACCAUAGAUCAACUAUUAGGCACGCCCAAUAAAAUUGUCAUUCCCGAACGAUAUAUUCCUGAACAGACGCCGGAGCUAACGGCGGAAGAACAGGAGCAACGUUUAAAAAAGGCGGAAGCAAUUAGGAAAAUGCUCUCGGAAACAACCGUAACUGCAUCGGAAGGUGGUGACGAUAACUCCAAUGUGCAAAAAUCAGACAAUUUGAAACGAAAAGUCGUCGAAGAGAAGCGACAGAGGGAACACAUCCUUCAGCUCAAUCAAAUAUUGGCAAAGCAAGUGAUGGAGAAAAGUAAAAUGGUAGCGGGUAACCAGGCACACUGACUGACAUGCUUACUCCAUCUCUAUAGGACACGCACGUCACAUUAUCAUUUUCAGUGAAAGCUCUGGCAACGCUUCCUCUGAAGACCGAAUCGAGCUUAGACGACGAGGAUCUCUCGCCCGUGGCUCCUUUGCCGCUUUACCAGCAAAGAGAAAAUUACUAUUCAUAAGCAUCGUAAGAGCACAAACAACUACUGCCAAUACGAAGGAAACACAGGGACAGAGAAAGGAUACAAGAGAUUUUUCUUUUCCCGAUUAAUUAAGAAAACGUGCGAAAAUUCGUGCAAUAUACUGAGAGAAAGUGCUUUUAAUUUGCAUCGAUUGCAUUGUACAUAAUCAUCGACUAAAUGAAACGGUAAUAGAUAGCUGUCGCGUUUGUUAACGAUAAGAGCUCGUAUAAUAUAUAACUGUUGCACACUUACGAACGAGAUAUUGGCUUAAGGCGAUCACGUGAUAAACGAAAUUAUCACCGCGUUAUCAGGCUGCGAGGGCAUGCUCAUCAUUUUUUUUCGACUAACGCUAAACUCAACAACAUCGUGAUUGCUGUCAUUUUUACUGAAACAUCGUUCUGAAAAAACAAAAACUGAAUAUCAUUCAGCGUUGAAUACUAGAGCGAUACUCGCUGGACGACUUUUUUAUCUGCGUGACGGAUUUAACGCAUCUCCGGACGACACGUCCGGCUUUGAGAAACCUUUUAUCGCGUCUCUUCGCAAUCGAAAGUUCUUUUUCGAAAGUUUUCAUAUCGAUGAGUAUCUGUAAGUAACAAAGGGACGCACUCUCGACUGAGCAUUUGUUUCGAAUAUUGUCUCCCGUUUUACAAUCAUUUUCGGCGAAUUUUUAUAUUGACGCGAGCGGCGAAAUUAUAUACCCCGUCACCAAAGUUUGAACGAAAAUGUGGUAGCGUUCGAUUUAACGGCGCAAAAAUUACGGCUCGUUAUUUUAGCGACGAGGGAUGUAUUCAUGUAUAUGUAUUGUGCGUACAAAUCGAGAGAUAAAACUUUACAUGGACGACUACCGUGAAGUUUCUACGACGCUAGGAUAUCGAGCCUGCUAGGUCCCAUUCGCCGAACUCGAUGACGAAAGGAUAACGGCGCCGAUUGCGACGAUUAUCAUGUAAACUAGAUUGUAAGAAACGCAUAAUAUACAUACGCUUCUGAAGCGCCCGUUGCUGUUAGCGUUAUAUACGAUUUUUCACGGGCCAUUGUAGCAUGGCAUCAUUAAUGUUUAGAAUAGACGUACAAUUAUAAUGAAAGAGUGCCAAAUUCCUAUCAUAAUGGCGAGCGAGAAGCGAGCGUUUAAACGAUCGUCAAUUAAAAAAUCGCUACGAUAUCAAUGCGGUACCAUAAGAAUAAAGAUCGCGAAACGAUCGUACAUGAUUAAACAUCUUAUUUCACCUUCUGAGAUCGGCCAGAUAUUAUCAAUAUUUCAAACUUUUCACCCUUCUCAGUGAGAGAUUGGAUUAAAAUAAUUGAACCAAGAUCUCGGCUGUAUCGGAACAAAGAUAACGUUCACGUAUGAAACGUUUAUGAUGAUUAUUCAAUUUUCUAAAGAAAAGAUCGUAUAGCAAGCUACGCGAAUAAUUUAAGUAAUAUAACAGAUUAAAUAAUUUAAUUUUAGCUAAUUUUAUCGAUAACUUGAUUUAAAUAACUCAGUUAAUUAUUUAUAGUUAUCAACUAACAAAUAAUUAAUAAUCGUUAAUAAUUAUUCUUCAAAUUCGAUCAGCCCGGUCCGGAAUUAGCAAAAUUUUGCCAAACUCCCGGGUCUACGCGACUUCUGAAGCUCCUUCUUUUUGUUAAUUGUAAAAAUAAGAAUUGGCCCCAUGGGGCAACGCCAUAUGGCCCGCAAUUUACAAUCAUUUACAAGAAUAAAUAACUUUUCUCAUUUACUUACAUUUACACAGUAGCUCGUCAUUGUCGCGACAUCUAUCCAGCUGAACUAAUACUUUAGUGGGAUGCAAAAUUCAAAUAAGCAUGCAUACGAACGAGAAAGAUUCCAAAGAUUCCCAAUUAAUACGCGCGCGCAUCAACUAAAUUCGAAUAAUGAAUGAUUUUAGAAAAAUUACUAUAAAACUCACCAAAAAUACGACCUUACUCCGAUAUCGGAAGGAUGAUCUGCAUCUGAAGCGUUCUUCGGCCGCGCAAGCACUGGGCUCGAUCUGUUAGCACUAAGCGUGUUGUGAUCACUUUGUUUUAUGAUGAUCUCCAGACGGAAUAUUUUUCUGACGACAAUGCAACGCGCGCGGUACAUACACUCGCUAUGUUACGUGCAUUCGCUGCACAGAAUCGCGCAAAACGCGAUAAAACACCCGACAAAACCGGGGAAACGUGACGUCCCUUCGCAAACGCGACGUGUCUUGCGAAGCCCGCGGUCGCCACGAACUAUCGAUAUUAGUUUCGAGACUCGCAGCGGCACAAGAUGGCGUCGUUUAUCGAUACAAUCGAUAUCUACCAGGCCGCAUCGGUUCAAAACUUCAAACGGGUUCUUAUAACACUGCUAUACCUCUCUAACGUCAAGAUAUGCAAUUUCGGAAAUACGAGAUAACUUAAUAUUUAAUAUGUAUCAUAUACAUGAGAAAAAUUUCAAGAAACUUUCAACGACGCGCGGCAAUGAAAGGAAAAUCAAAGGAUUAAUAAUCACGUAUAAAGUUACAAAUUUACCGCGAGCGUCCCCGCAAGGUUAUGCUUCAACAUCGCAAGGAUAAUCUUCGCCGUUAUCGCUCGUAUCUUCGAUCUGGCACACGCGAUCCACCGAGUACUUAGCAAUAAGUUUUUAUAACAAUUAUAAAAAAUGUGCGCGAUGCACUUUAUUGUCAUGCGAAAUUGCGCGAAAUGCGACGCCGCGACGCCGCCGAUUAAACCCGGAGAACUACGGUACUCUUUUGCACAUGCGACGUUUCCUGCAAAAGGUCCGCCAUUAACUAUAUCGACGUUCGACUUCGAGAAUCGUGACCGCACAGACGAUCCCCGUAUCAAUUCGUAAAUCCUUGAGAGAUACCAUUAUAUGCACCGCGUGAGACGCAAGGAUAACAGGCGAAACACGGCGCGAAUUAUCACGAGAACUGUUAUUGUUAUAAAUGAUAAAAUAAAAAUCGUAUGGCGACACGAGA